GUAGUUUCCCGGACCACCAAAUCUCCAACUGGGAGCUUGGAGAAGAUGAAUGAAACAAUGCAUCAAAUAACUUGGAUGAGCUUUGUCAAGGGUCUGAGAAUGGCUCUUCUAUAUUCUAGUUCCUACGAUGUGGCCUGCCAUGAGACCGGAGACUGAAAAGACCAUCAAGAUGAAACUUCACUUUUAUCCUGUUUGAACGACCCAUUCAGCUGUGAUUUGGAGCGAGGCCCAGCACUUGGAUGAAUGAGAAGAGUACUGGGCAGCCCUAACGACGCAUCACGCAGUCGGUGGCUUUAGACCAAGGAACACAAGGAAGGAUGAUGAAACCUCAUAAAAGCCCCCGUGGAUGGAGCAGCGAUUUCCAAGGCAGGGCCAACCCCCAACACAAAUUAAAAGCUAAGAAGACGGAAACCUUCUGAUUCAACGUUCUGCCAGUUGCCACAGCCCAAAAUGAUCCCUUGAACGGGGCCAGAACAAGAGUCCCCCAAGGCAACUGUGGAAAGAAAACUGUUCAACGGGACUCCCAGCCAGACGGUUCCGGGAAAAUGACUUGGAGUCUCAAGUGGAGGAAGUCAGAAAUCCCAAGAGCCUGAACGGUCUGUUGGAACUGAGGGAAGAAAUGGGUCCCAGGAAAUUCUGGGUUCUCUUCCAGGCUUGGCUGCUGACAACAUUUUGUUGUGUGAUCCUAUCUCCCUCCCACGUAUGCCUGAGGAAGAAAAAAACAAUUUGGGGACCUGCCUUUACUUGGUACCUUAUGUCCCUCUGCUAAAUUGAAUGGAAAGUGACCAAAGGCAACAAUCCAGCCACUUGAACGUCCCCUUGACUGAAUAAAGGCGUGCAACCAAUUGGAAGA
This is a long non-coding RNA of Ornithorhynchus anatinus (platypus), 853 nucleotides long. RefSeq lists it as uncharacterized. NCBI's taxonomy places the organism in Eukaryota, Metazoa, Chordata, Mammalia, Monotremata, Ornithorhynchidae. The record is from RefSeq and is a predicted model, not a curated record. The transcript is spliced from 2 exons.